UACGUAGGGUGCGAGCGUUAAUCGGAAUUACUGGGCGUAAAGCGUGCGCAGGCGGUUUUGUAAGCCAGAUGUGAAAUCCCCGGGCUUAACCUGGGAAUGGCAUUUGGGACUGCAAGGCUGGAGUUUGGCAGAGGAGACUGGAAUUCCUGGUGUGGCAGUGAAACGCGUAGAUAUCAGGAGGAAUACCGAUGGCGAAGGCAGGUCUCUGGGCUAUAACUGACGCUCAUGCACGAAAGCGUGGGGAGCAAACAGG
Molecule: ribosomal RNA, 253 nt
Filed under: uncultured bacterium
Lineage: Bacteria
Description: partial 16S ribosomal RNA
Rfam family: Bacterial small subunit ribosomal RNA
Source: RNAcentral